This 253-nucleotide ribosomal RNA is filed under the name uncultured bacterium. RNAcentral describes it as "partial 16S ribosomal RNA". It matches the Rfam family "Bacterial small subunit ribosomal RNA", at positions 524 to 776 of the family's 1533-position model. The record is from RNAcentral.
GACGUAGGAGGCGAGCGUUGUCCGGAAUUAUUGGGCGUAAAGAGCUCGUAGGCGGUUUGUCGCGUCUGCUGUGAAAAUCCAGGGCUUAACCCUGGACCUGCAGUGGGUACGGGCAGACUGGAGUGCGGUAGGGGAGAUCGGAAUUCCUGGUGUAGCGGUGAAAUGCGCAGAUAUCAGGAGGAACACCGGUGGCGAAGGCGGAUCUCUGGGCCGUAACUGACGCUGAGACGCGAAAGCGUGGGGAGCGAACAGG